This 253-nucleotide ribosomal RNA is filed under the name uncultured bacterium. Its description in RNAcentral is "partial 16S ribosomal RNA". It matches the Rfam family "Bacterial small subunit ribosomal RNA", at positions 524 to 776 of the family's 1533-position model. The record is from RNAcentral.
UACGUAGGUGGCAAGCGUUGUCCGGAUUUACUGGGCGUAAAGAGCGCGCAGGCGGUCGUUUAAGUCGAAUGUGAAAGCCCCCGGCUCAACUGGGGAGGGUCAUUCGAUACUGAUCGACUUGAAGGCAGGAGAGGGAAGUGGAAUUCCGGGUGUAGUGGUGAAAUGCGUAGAUAUCCGGAGGAACACCAGUGGCGGAGGCGACUUCCUGGCCUGUUCUUGACGCUGAGGCGCGAAAGCUGGGGGAGCAAACGGG